RNAcentral lists this ribosomal RNA (468 nucleotides) under uncultured bacterium. Its description in RNAcentral is "partial 16S ribosomal RNA". It matches the Rfam family "Bacterial small subunit ribosomal RNA", at positions 28 to 507 of the family's 1533-position model. The record is from RNAcentral.
GACGAACGCUGGCGGCGGGCUUAACACAUGCAAGUCGAACGGAAAGGCCCUGCUUUUGUGGGGUGCUCGAUUGGCGAACGCGGGCGUAACAGGUGAGUAACCUGCCCUUGACUUUGGGAUAACUUCAGGAAACUGGGGCUAAUACCGGAUAGGAGCUCCUGCUGCGUGGUGGGGGGUGGAAAUUUUCGGCGGUCGUGGAUGGACUCGCGGCUUAUCGGCUUGUUGGUGGGGUAGUGGCUGGCCAAGGGUUUGACGGGUAGCCGGCCUGAGAGGGUGAACGGCCCCAUUGGGACUGCGGUACGGAACAGACUCGUAUGGGAGGCAGCAGUGGCGAAUAUUGCCCAAUGGGCGGAAGCCUGAUGCAGAAGCGCCGCGUGCGGGAUGACGGCCUUCGGGUUGUAAACCGCUUUCGCCUGUGACGAAGCGUGAGUGACGGUAAUGGGUAAAGAAGCACCGGCUAACUACGUG